RNAcentral lists this long non-coding RNA (8661 nucleotides) under Lathyrus oleraceus (garden pea). RNAcentral describes it as "Pisum sativum (pea) long non-coding RNA (PSAT_LNC039723)". The record is from RNAcentral. Lineage: Eukaryota; Viridiplantae; Streptophyta; Magnoliopsida; Fabales; Fabaceae.
UUUAUUUUUAAUAUUAAAUCUCUUCACUCUCUAUUUGACAUUUUUAUCAUAAAACCUACUAAGUCAAAACUAAUGCACAUUUUUUUUCUAAUGCAUUUUUUUUCUAUUCUACUGUAUAAAAUAAGUUUAGAUAAUAAAGGUUUUAUUAUAUUAUAAUGAGAAAUAACAAAGAUCUCAAAAAGUCUAAUAUAAUAUCCAUAAUAGAAUACCACUCACUAUUCUAACCUCAAGAUAUUAAUAAAGUGUCACUUAAAUACUUCUCCUUUCUCUCAAAUCAAACAUUACCUUAGUUGUAACUAAUUAUUAUUUUUAUAUAAUAAAUAAUAAUUAAUAAUUUAAAAAGUAAUAUAAUCAAUAGAAUUAAUUACUUGACUUUACUACUGUAUAUUAUUUAUGGAAGGAUGAAUAAAAUCAGGUCGUUGAUAAAUAAAGUAUAUAUAUGAGACAAACAAAUAUAGAUAUCCAAUAAUUAAUCUAAUUAUUUCUAUGAAUACCCGAUUAUUAUUCGGAUCACAAAUAAACUUAAUGUUAUAUUUUUAUGCAUCUUUAUAUUUUUAUGCGUAUACUUUUCUACUAUCCCAAUUUUAAUAUUUACAAAAAUUUAAAAGAGAAAGCGGAGUACAAGUUAGGUGUUUUCAUGGAAACCCUAAAAUUGGAGAGUAUAUUUGGGUUGUGAGUUAAGUUGAAGCUUUUUAAACGCUAGCGGUAUUUUUGGUUAGGUUCUUAAAAUUAAAUUUGGGUGAGGUUCAGUUUAAUGUUUGAAUUGAAAGGUAAUAUUGCUUAGGUUGUCUGUGUUUGGUUGGAUCUAUCACAGUCGGCAUAUUGAGUAUCAAUUGGUAAAUUUUUUUUAAUAUUAAAUCUCUCACUCUCUAUUUGACAUUUUAUCAUAAAACCUACUAAGUCAAAACUAAUGCCAUUUUUUUUUCUAAUGCACUUUUUUUCUAUUCUACUGUAUAAAAUAAGUUUAGAUAAUAAUUUUAAUUAUAUUAUAUGAGAAAUAACAAAGAUCUCAAAAGGUCUAAUAUAAUAUCCAUAAUAGAAUACCACUCACUAUUCUAACAUCAAGAUAUUAAUAAAGUGCCACUUAAAUACUUCUCCUUCCUCAAAUUAAACAUUACCUUAGUUGUAACUAAUUAUUAGUUUUAUAUAAUAAAUAAUAAUUAAUAACUUAAAAAGUAAUAUAAUCAAUAGAAUUAAUUACUUGACUUUACAUUGUAUAUUAUUUAUGGAAGGAUGAUAAAUAUAGGCCGUUGAUAAAAUAAAGUAUAUAUAUGAGACAAACAAAUUAAGAUAUCCAAUAAUUAAUCUAAUUAUUCUCUGAAUACCCGUUUAUUAUUCGGAUCAAAAAUAAACUAAUGUUAUAUUAUGCAAUUUUAUAUUUUUAUGCGUAUACUUUUCUACUAUCCCAAUUUUAAUAUUUACAAAAAUUUAAAAGAGAAAGUGGAGUACAAGUUAGGUGUUUCCAUGGAAACGUUAAAAUUGGAGAGUAAUAUUGGGUUGUGAGUUAAGUUGAAGCUUUUAAACGCUAGCGGUAUUUUUGUUAGGUUCUUAAAAUUUAAUAUUGGUGAGGUUUCAGUUUAAUGUUUUGAAUUGAAAGGUAAUAUUGCUUAGGUUGUCUGUGUUUGGUUGGAUCUAUCCACAGUCGGCAUAUUGAGUAUCAAUUGGUAAAUUUAUUUUUAAUAUUAAAUCUCUCCACUCUCUAUUUGACAUUUUUAUCAUAAACCUACUAAGUCAAACUAAUGCACAUUUUUUUCUAAUGCACUUUUUUUUCUAUUCUACUGUAUAAAAUAAGUUUAGAUAAUAAAUGGUUUUAUUAUAUUAUAAUGAGAAAUAACAAAGAUCUCAAAAGGUCUAAUAUGAUAUCCAUAAUAGAAUACCACUCACUAUUCUAACAUCAAGAUAUUAAUAAAGUGCCACUUAAAUACUUCUCCUUCCUCUCAAUUAAACAUUACCUUAGUUGUAACUAUUUAUUUUAUAUAAUAAAUAAUAAUUAAUAACUUAAAGUAAUAUAUAAUCAAUAGAAUUAAUUACUUGACUUUACAAUUGUAUAUUAUUUAUGGAAGGAUGUAAAAUCAGGCCGUUGAUAAAAUAAAGUAUAUAUAUGAGACAAACAAUUUUAGAUAUCCAAUAUUUAAUCUAAUUAUUUCUAUGAAUACCCGUUAUUUAUUCGGAUCAAAAUAAACCUAAUGUUAUAUUUUUAUGCAAUUUUAUAUGUUAUACGUAUACUUUUCUACUAUCCCAAUUUUAAUAUUUAAAUUUAAAAGAGAAAGUGGAUACAAGUUGAGUGUUUUCAUGGAAACAUUAAAAUUGGAGAGUAUAUUUGGGUUGUGAGUUAGUUGAAGCUUUUUAAACGCUAGCGGUAUUUUUGUUAGGUUCUAAAAUUUAAUAUUGGUGAGGUUCAGUUUAAUGUUUUGAAUUGAAAGGUAAUAUUGCUUAGGUUGUCUGUGUUUGGUUGGAUCUAUCCACAGUCGGCAUAUUGAGUAUCAAUUGGUAAAUUUAUUUUUAAUAUUAAAUCUCUCCACUCUCUAUUUGACAUUUUUAUCAUAAAACCUACUAAGUCAAACUAAUGCACAUUUUUUUUCUAAUGCACUUUUUUUUUCUAUCUACUGUAUAAAAUAAGUUUAGAUAAUAAAUGUUUUAUUAUAUUAUAAUGAGAAAUAACAAAGAUUCUCAAAAGGUCUAAUAUAAUAUCCAUAAUAGAAUACCACUCACUAUUCUAACAUCAAGAUAUUAAUAAAGUGCCACUUAAAUACUUCUCCUUCCUCUCAAUAAAACAUUACCUUAGUUGUAACUAAUUAUUAUUUUAUAUAAUAAAUAAUAAUUAAUAACUUAAAAAGUAAUAUAAUCAAUAGAUUAAUUACUUGACUUUACUAUUGUAUAUUAUUUAUGGAAGGAUGAUAAAAUCAGGCCGUUGAUAAAUAAAGUAUAUAUAUGAGACAAACAAAUUUAGAUAUCCAAUAAUUAAUCUAAUUAUUUCUCUGAAUACCGUUUUUAUUCGGAUCAAAAUAAACCAUAUGUUAUAUUUUUAUGCAAUUUUAUAUUUUAUGCGUAUACUUUUCUACUAUCCAUUUUAAUAUUUACAAAAAUUUAAAAGAGAAAGUGGAUACAAGUUAGGUGUUUUCAUGGAAACGUUAAAAUUGGAGAGUAUAUUUGGGUUGUGAGUUAAGUUGAAGCUUUUAAACGCUAGCGGUAUUUUUGUUAGGUUCUUAAAAUUUAAUAUUGGUGAGGUUUCAGUUUAAUGUUUUGAAUUGAAAGGUAAUAUUGCUUAGGUUGUCUGUGUUUGGUUGGAUCUAUCCACAGUCGGCAUAUUGAGUAUCAAUUGGUAAAUUUAUUUUUAAUAUUAAAUCUCUCCACUCUCUAUUUGACAUUUUUAUCAUAAAACCUACUAAGUCAAAACUAAUGCACAUUUUUUUCUAAUGCACUUUUUUUUUAUUCUACUGUAUAAAUAAGUUUAGAUAAUAAAUGUUUUUUAUAUUAUAAUGAGAAAUAACAAAGAUCUCAAAAGGUCUAAUAUGAUAUCCAUAAUAGAAUACCACUCACUAUUCUAACAUCAAGAUAUUAAUAAAGUGCCACUUAAAUACUUUCCUUCCUCUCAAUUAAACAUUACCUUAGUUGUAACUAAUUAUUAGUUUUUAUAUAAAAAAUAAUAAUUAAUAACUUAAAAAGUAAUAUAAUCAAUAGAAUUAAUUACUUGACUUUACUUGUAUAUUAUUUAUGAAGGAUGAUAAAAUUAAGGCCGUUGAUAAAAUAAAGUAUAUAUAUGAGACAAACAAAUUUAGAUAUCCAAUAAUUAAUCAAAUUAUUUUCUGAAUACCCGUUUAUUAUUCGGAUCAAAAAUAAACAUAAUGUUAUAUUUUUGCAAUUUUUAUUUUUAUGCGUAUACUUUUCUACUAUCCCAUUUAAUAUUUACAAAAAUUUAAAGGAGAAAGUGGAAUACAAGUUAGGUGUUUUCAUGGAAACUUAAAAUGGAGAGUUAUUUGGGUUGUGAGUUAAGUUGAAGCUUUUAAACGCUAGCGGUAUUUUUGUUAGGUUCUUAAAAUUUUAAUAUUGGUGAGGUUUCAGUAAUUUUUUUGAAUGAAAGGUAAUAUUGCUUAGGUUGUCUGUGUUUGGUUGGAUCUAUCCACAGUCGGCAUAUUGAGUAUCAAUUGGUAAAUUUAUUUUUAAUAUUAAAUCUCUCCACUCUCUAUUUGACAUUUUAUCAUUAAACCUACUAAGUCAAAACUAAUGCACAUUUUUUUCUAAUGCACUUUUUUUUUUCUAUUCUACUGUAUAAAAUAAGUUUAGAUAAUAAAUGUUUUAUUAUAUUAUAAUGAGAAAUAACAAAGAUCUCAAAAGGUCUAAUAUGAUAUCCAUAAUAGAAUACCACUCACUAUUCUAACAUCAAGAUAUUAAUAAAGUGCCACUUAAAUACUUCUCCUUCCUCUCAAAUAAACAUUACCUUAGUUGUAACUAAUUAUUAUUUUAUAUAAUAAAUAAUAAUUAAUAAUUAAAAAAGUAAUAUAAUCAAUAGAAUUAAUUACUUGACUUUACAUUGUAUAUUAUUUAUGGAAGGAUGACUAAAAUCAGGCCGUUGAUAAAAUAAAGUAUAUAUAUGAGACAAACAUUUAGAUACCCAAUAUUUAAUCUAAUUAUUUCUAUGAAUACCGUUUUUUAUUCGGAUCAGAAAUAAACCUAAUGUUAUAUUUUUAUGAAUUUUAUAUGUUUAUACGUAUACUUUUCUCCUAUCCCAUUUAAUAUUUACAAAAAUUUAAAAGAGAAAGUGGACUACAAGUUAGAUGUUUUCAUGGAAACAUUAAAAUUGGGAUUAUAUUUGGGUUGUGAGUUACAGUUGAAGCUUUUAAACGCUAGCGGUAUUUUUGUUAGGUUCUUAAAAUUUAAAUAUUGGUGAGGUUCAGUUUAAUGUUUGAAUUGAAAGGUAAUAUUGCUUAGGUUGUCUGUGUUUGGUUGGAUCUAUCUCACAGUCGGCAUAUUGAGUAUCAAUUGGUAAAUUUAUUUUUAAUAUUAAAUCUCUCCACUCUCUAUUUGACAUUUUUAUCAUAAAACCUACUAAGUCAAAACUAAUGCACAUUUUUUUCUAAUGCACUUUUUUUUCUAUCUACUGUAUAAAAUAAGUUUAGAUAAUAAAUGUUUUAUUAUAUUAUAAUGAGAAAUAACAAAGAUCUCAAAAGGUCUAAUAUAUAUCCAUAAUAGAAUACCACUCACUAUUCUAACAUCAAGAUAUUAAUAAAGUGCCACUUAAAUACUUCUCCUUCCUCUCAAUUAAACAUUACCUUAGUUGUAACUAAUUAUUGUUUUAUAUAAUAAAUAAUAAUUAAUAAUUAAAAAGUAAUAUAAUCAAUAGAAUUAAUUACUUGACUUUACAAUUGUAUAUUAUUUAUGGAAGGAUGAUAAAUAUCAGGCCGUUGAUAAAUAAAGUAUAUAUAUGAGACAAACAAAUUUAGAUAUCCAAUAAUUAAUCUAAUUAUUCUCUGAAUACCCGUUUAUUAUUCGGAUCAAAAAUAAACAUAAUGUUAUAUUUUUAUGCAAUUUUAUAUUUUUAUGCGUAUACUUUUCUACUAUCCCAUUUUUAAUAUUUACAAAAAUUUAAAAGAGAAAGUGGAAUACAAGUUAGGUGUUUCCAUGGAAACGUUAAAAUUGGAGAGUAUAUUUGGGUUGUGAGUUAAGUUGAAGCUUUUAAACGCUAGCGUAUUUUUGUUAGGUUCUUAAAAUUUAAUAUUGGUGAGGUUUCAGUUUAAUUUUUUUGAAUUGAAAGGUAAAUUGCUUAGGUUGUCUGUGUUUGGUUGGAUCUAUCCACAGUCGGCAUAUUGAGUAUCAAUUGGUAAAUUUAUUUUAAUAUUAAAUCUCUCCACUCUCUAUUUGACAUUUAAUCAUUAAACCUACUAAGUCAAACUAAUGCACAUUUUUUUCUAAUGCACUUUUUUUCUAUUCUACUGUAUAAAAUAAGUUAUAGUAUAAUAAAUUUUAUUAUAUUAUAAUGAGAAAUAACAAAGAUCUCAAAAGGUCUAAUAUAAUCCAUAAUAGAAUACCACUCACUAUUCUAACAUCAAGAUAUUAAUAAAGUGCCACUUAAAUACUUCUCCUUCCUCUCAAUUAAACAUUACCUUAGUUGUAACUAAUUAUUAGUUUUAUAUAAUAAAUAAUAAUAUAAUUAAAAAGUAAUAUAAUCAAUAGAAUUAAUUACUUGACUUUACAAUUGUAUAUUAUUUAUGGAAGGAUGAUAAAAUUAGGCCGUUGAUAAAAUAAAGUAUAUAUAUGAGACAAACAAUUUAGAUACCCAAUAUUUAAUCUAAUUAUUCUAUGAAUACCCGUUAUUUAUUCGGAUCAAAAAAUAAACCUAAUGUUAUAUUUUUAUGCAAUUUUAUAUUUAUACGUAUACUUUUCUACUAUCCCAAUUUUAAUAUUUACAAAAAUUUAAGGAAAGUGGACUACAAGUUAGAUGUUUUCAUGGAAACAUUAAAAUUGGAGAGUAUUUUUGGGUUGUGAGUUAGUUGAAGCUUUAAAACGCUAGCGGUAUUUUGUUAGGUUCUUAAAAUUAAAUAUUGGUGAGGUUCAGUUUAAUGUUUUGAAUUGAAAGGUAAUAUUGCUUAGGUUGUCUGUGUUUGGUUGGAUCUAUCCAAGUCGGCAUAUUGAGUAUCAAUCUUGGUAAAUUUAUUUUUAAUAUUAAAUCUCUCCACUCUCUAUUUGACAUUUUUAUCAUAAAACCUACUAAGUCAAAACUAAUGCACAUUUUUUUUCUAAUGCACUUUUUUUUCUAUUCUACUGUAUAAAAUAAGUUUAGAAUAUAAAGGUUUUAUUAUAUUAUAAUGAGAAUAACAAGAUCUCAAAAGGUCUAAUAUAUAUCCAUAAUAGAAUACCACUCACUAUUCUAACAUCAAGAUAUAUAAAAGUGCCACUUAAAUACUUCUCCUUCCUCUCAAAUAAACAUUACCUUAGUUGUAACUAAUUAUUAGUUUUAUAUAAUAAAUAAUAAUUAAUAAUUAAAAAGUAAUAUAAUCAAUAGAAUUAAUUACUUGACUUUACUAUUGUAUAUUAUUUAUGGAAGGAUGAUAAAAUUCAGGCCGUUGAUAAAAUAAAGUAUAUAUAUGAGACAAAACAAUUUAGAUCCCAAUAUUUAAUCUAAUUAUUUCUAUGAAUACCCGUUAUUUAUUCGGAUCAAAAUAAACCUAAUGUUAUAUUUUUAUGCAAUUUUAUAUGUUAUACGUAUACUUUUCUACUAUCCCAAUUUUAAUAUUUACAAAAAUUUAAAAGAGAAAAGUGGAUACAAGUUAGUGUUUUCAUGGAAACAUUAAAAUUGGAGAGUAUAUUUGGGUGGUGAGUAAGUUGAACUUUUAACAUUAACGGUAUUUUGUUAGGUUCUUAAAUUUAAUAUUGGUGAGGUUUCAGUUUAAUGUUUUGAAUUGAAAUAAUAUUGCUAGGUUUUCUGUGUUUGGGUUGGAUCUAUUCACAGUCGGCAUAUUGAGUAUCAAUUGGUAAAUUUAUUUUUAAUAUUAAAUCUCUCCACUCUCUAUUUGACAUUUUUAUCAUAAACCUACUAAGUCAAAACUAAUGCACUUUUUUUUCUAAUGCACUUUUUUUUUCUAUUCUAUCUGUAAUAAAUAAGUUUAGAUAAUAAAGGUUUUUUUAUUAAUAAUGAGAAAUAAAGAUCUCAAAAGGUCUAAUAUAAUAUCCAUAAUAGAAUACCACUCACUAUUCUAACAUCAAGAUAUUAAUAAAGUCCACUUAAAUACUUCCCUUCCUCUCAAAUCAAACAUUACCUUAGUUGUAACUAAUUAUUAUUUUUAUAUAAUAAUAUAAUAAUAAUUAAAAAGUAAUAUAAUCAAUAAAUUAAUUACUUGACUUUACUAUUGUAUUUAUUUAUGGAAGGAUGAGUAAAAUCAGGCCGUUGAUAAAAUAAAGUAUAUAUAUGAGACAAACAAAAUUAGAUAUCCAAUAAUUAAUCUAAUUAUUUCUCUGAAUACCCGUUAUUAUCGGAUCAAAAAUAACAUAAUGUUAAUUUUAUGCAAUUUUAUAUUUUUAUGCGUAUACUUUUCUACUAUCCCAAUUUUAAUAUUUACAAAAAUUUAAAAGAGAAAGGUGGAAACAAGUUGGUGUUUUCAUGGAAACUAAAAUUGGAGAGUAUUUUUGGGUUGUGAGUUAGUUGAAGCUUUUAAACGCUAGCGGUAUUUUUGUUAGGUUCUUAAAAUUUAAUAUUGAUGAGGUUUCAGUUUAAUGUUUUGAAUUGAAAGGUAAUAUUGCUUAGGUUGUCUGUGUUUGGUUGGAUCUAUUCACAGUCGGUAUAUUGAGUAUCAAUUGGUAAAUUUAUUUUUAAUAUUAAAUCUCUUCACUCUCUAUUUGAUAUUUUUAUCAUAAAACCUACUAAGUCAAAACUAGUGCACAUUUUUUUUUCUAAUGCACUUUUUUUUUCUAUUCUACUGUAUAAAAUAAGUAUAGAUAAUAAAGGUUUUAUUAUAUUAUAAUGAGAAAUAACAAAUAUCCCAAAAGGUCUAAUAUAAUAUCCAUAAUAGAAUACCACUCAAUAUUCUAACAUCAAGAUAUUAAUAAAGUCCCACUUAAAUACUUCUCCUUCCUCUCAAAUCAAACAUUACCUUAGUUGUAACUAAUUAUUAUUUUUAUAUAAUAAAUAAUAAUUAAUAAUUUAAAAAGUAAUAUAAUCAAUAGAAU